Molecule: long non-coding RNA, 4667 nt
Organism: Ictalurus furcatus (blue catfish)
Lineage: Eukaryota; Metazoa; Chordata; Actinopteri; Siluriformes; Ictaluridae
Exons: 4
Source: RefSeq, a predicted model, not a curated record
AUUGCUGUCUCUAUGGAAGGGAGUCAAUGAUAUAAGAAAUGUGUGUAUUACAUUGAGAGAGAAGUAUUACAUGGAGCGAUUUCUUAUAAGAAGUUCAGGAACUUUGCCUCUGCGACGGCAGAGAUAUCGGUGUUUCUUAGAUCACAGAUUCAAAACUAAGAUAUAUACAGAUGGGUAUAUAUACAGAGAGAGAGAUAAUAACGGUAAAAAUAUUUGCUAAUGGAAAGAGUCCGGUUCGAGCAAUGAAUAAGUAAAGAGAGUACUUAUUAAGAAGCGCAAGAGGCGCAGUAUUUUUACGGCGGAUUAUCAUCAAGUGGCAUGCCCCAUUGACUCAUUCCAUCAGAUCAGCGGUACAUGAUACGUUUGGCAAAUUUAACGCACAAGUAAAUUCUACUGAGCUAAAAAAAUUAAUAAUAAUAAUAAAAAAAAAACUUUAAAAGAAGGGAAGAGAAAACUGUAAGUCCUACCAAAUUGCUGUAUGUGGACUCGCCCUCACAGUUAUAGAAGCUGUAAAGAAAAGAAAAAUAUGGGAAAAACAUAUAGUAAAACACAUCCUGAGACACAGGCUAUGAAAAAGUUAGAAGAACAGAAAUUUAAUUUGGAAGCAAAGAAGAGAACCUGUUGGUUCCACAUGAGAGGGAGACGGAGAACCACAUGACUGUGUCGUACUGACUAACGAACUCUGCUCCCCUAGAGUCGACCUGAAGGAUGUUCCAUUGGAAAACCCAGAUCUGAUCCUUUUUGUGGACAGGUCAGCGUCACGUGACCCAGAGACAGGUAAAAAUCGAGUGGGCUAUGCAGUAGUAACCGCACACGAGACGGUCUGUCAGGAAGUCUCCCCUCAAACGUUUCAGCACAAACAGCUGAACUGUAUGCCCUCAUACAGGCAUGAAAACAUGCUGAGGGACAGUCAGUAAAUAUCUACACAGACAGUAGAUAUGCCUUUGAGGUAGUACAUGAGUUGGGGACAAUUUGGAAAUACAGGAACUUCCUGACGAGUUCAGGAACACACAUAGCCCACCACAAACCAGUCUCCGAGCUGCUGGACGCAGUCCUACUCCCCAAAACUAUUGCAGUAUGCAAAUGUGAUGCACACACUAACAAAUCAGAUCCUGUCUCCCUAGGUAACGCGCGAGUGGACAGUGCAGCAAAGCAAGCAGCUGCAUCUAUGGUCCCAAAACGCAAAAAGAAAAUAAUCACACCUUCUUUACAGCUUUCGGACCUCCAAACACGGGCUACGCGGACGAGGAAAAGGCUGUGUGGCGCAAAGCAGGCUGCAUGGUUGUUGACGGAGUUUGGCGGUGCCCCCAGGGCUGUCCUUGUCUUCAAAGUUGACACAUGGCAGGGACCAUACGUCAAAAGGGGGAAUGAUAGCUGCGUAAAGCAUUGGUUUCUCAAAUUACUCUAAAAAUAUAUAUAUUUUUUCAUUUGUUUACGAUGUUUGCGCAACUCAUAACAUGGGUUGAGGUUUGAAGGUAGAGAAGACCACGUCCCUACGUCCAAACAGGAUUCAGACGCGGUAGUGAUAAUGAUAAUCUCCAGUGAUAAUGGCACACCUUUUGUGAGCCAUGCCCUUAAGUAGGUGGGUGAAUAUUUGGGUAUUGAAUUAAAGCAGCACUGUGCAUAUCAUCCAGCUAGUGGUGGGGCGGUAGACAGAGAAAAUAGCUGCGUUUACAUGGACAACAAUAAUCCACUCUUAAUCCGAUUAAGACCAUACUCUAAUUAAGAAAUUACCAUGUAGACGGCAAUUUUUACUUACCUUAAUCUAAUUAAGGUCAUAAUCAAAGUAAGCAAUAAUCUAAUUAAGACAGCUGGAGUACUCCUGUUUUAGUCGCAUUAUGGACGUGUAGUAGUGACAUGUAAACACCUUAAUCACAUUAUGAACGUUGUGUGAGAGUUUUCACCGCAUUUUGCGACAGGACACGAUCACACACGGCAGUUUUACGGCGAACAAGAGAGUUCGGCUGUGUCCCAAAUCGUGUACUUGCCUACUAUAGGCCUGUAGUGGGGAAAAAUACAUGAAUCUCGGCUACUAUAUAGACGGUAACUACGCGAUUUGGGACACACCCACCGCUUCAAGCAGUUGUCUAUUAGCACGUACAGCAUGACAAAUAAUUAACUGCACUUAAAGCGUUCGUAAAAAAUAAAUAAAUAAAAACACCCAAAACUGUAUACGGUACCAUAACGAAGACGAACUGUAUGUUGAUACGUGAAAUUCUGGAGGGACGUCGGACGGCGUGGCGUGGUGACGUAAUGACGCGUGUUAAUCUAAUUACGUUCUAAAACAUGUAACACGGGAACAUGACAGGAGUAUUCUAAAAGCGACUCAUGUACACACCUUAAUCACAUUAUUAUCUUACUCAGAUUAAGGUCAAUAAUUAGAUUACUGCUGUCCGUGUAAACGUAGUCAAUGGGACACUAAAAAACAGACUGAGCAAAUGCUGUUCUGAAACAGGCUUAGGAUGGGUUUAGUCCCUUUGGGAUACUGUUUGGGAUACCUCCACACACAGGAAUUGGACCUGUGACAGCUCCUCUUCCUGACGCUGCAGCAUGUGAGGAUGCGAUGUUAAAUUACUGUGCAACCCUGUCCUCUGCUCUGCACUCUAUCCACAAGCAGGUAAAGGCGGCAUUUCGAGCUCCAGCCACGGGCCCGCCGCAUGAUCUGAAGCCCGUAGGUUGGAUCGUGAUCAAGGACUUCCGCAGGACCAGGUGGAACAAGCCACGGUGGUCGGGCCAUUCUAGAUCCUUUUCAUCACUCGCUCUGUGGUAAAGGUCAGCCAGAGAGCCAUGUGGAUGCAUGCGAGUCACUGCAGUCGAGUGCCAGAGCAUGGAGCUGGAGAAGACGGGACUGCAAUAAGAGAACUAGACCGUAAUUCUCUAUCAAGAGGCCUCUAGGAGGACCUACGCUCACGAGCGACGAUCUGCAUAUACACACCCACACACACACGACACACUACACCCCGACACAUCAACACACCAAUCCCACGCGACUCCACGAUGGACGGUCUUAAGUAGUAUCUAGCAGACUGGGAAAUCACGGACAUGUAGUUUUUGGAGAAAAUGUUGAUGACAUGGAAACUGUACUCUUCGGAGGACUGAACUUCAUUAGUUCGUACUAUACAGCCACGUGACCAGGACAGAGGUUAGACGACGUGACUUCGCUACCAAACCUCUUACGCCUCAAAGCUCCCUGACCACAGACUACUGUUGCAGACUAGACACAAAUCAUUAGAUGUCGACCUGCACAUCCACUCAUACAUACAAACCUAUUCCUAAUCGUGCACCCUUCUCCUGGUAUAGGUGGUAUCUGGGACCGUUCCCAACAACACUGGGGGUCCGGGGGUAGACCCUUAAGCUGGAAAGAUAAACCAAAGCGUGAUACUGAAGUUUUUUGGGUGGAAGACUUAAUGAUCAAUCACGCCAAUCACAUCGUUGCAGCAGGAAGAAUGCAUGAUGCACACACUUUUAUCCAAAUUUGGUAUUUAGCUGAUCAUGAUGACGGGACUAAAUGCCUAAGGCGACGUGACUUCUACAGGUCCCACAUAAGCUCGCGAAGUUCUCUAGUAGACUAUUGCUGCAGAUUGGACGACAAUUAGUAGUUAAAAGCCCGUAUGCCAAGAUAUUGGCUCCUCUGUAAACCGUUCUGUAUCGCCUUUGGACAUAAGAAUCACUGCCAACAGUGCUACCCAUACAAUGUCACACGUCCCCUCGUCAUGCAGACACAUAAUGGUUAUUCUAUCAUUGAACACAGGCGGUCUGCGAUACGCAACCCUCCACAGGCUAGCGAGACGGGGUUUGAUUGGCUGAACUCAGUACUCGGGGAAUGGGGCUCGUGGAUAUUAACCAUCUGUCUACCAAUAGCUGCAAUAAUUCUUCUUGUCUUGCUCAUUUUGCCUCGUAUCGUUCUCUCGUUCGGAGCAGUCUCUCACACUCGUUGAAAUCACUAAUGACCAAACGCUAAUGUUGACAAAGACAGAGUACGAUCCCUAUGAUGACCUAUCUGACUUGUAUCCUAAACCUGACUGGGUACCAGAUCCUCCCAGCGACACUGAUGAUGACGACCCAUUGACAUCCAUUUCACAACUAUUGUAAAUAUUCCUUUGACCAGGACGACUCUCAUUUCACUCUAAAAUAAGCUUGCUUGACUACAGGAUACUUUAUAUCCGCAAAAACAGCCUUAGCAGUUUCAUUAUGUCUGUUUCAUGAUGAAUUCAGUUGAACCGUGAAAGGUUUCUGAAGUUCUGAUGUACCCAUAGAACAGUAAUUUCUCUGUUAAUUUUAGUUAUCAUAUUUUGUAAUGAUAAAAUGGGGGAAAUUAUUCAUUUUUACUUUGUAAUAGUUUUGUUCUUGUUCUGUUUCACAUCUGAGGAUAAUGCCUAAAAAGGUCAUGUCACUGAGAUCAGUACAGAAUGUUUAUCUGCUUACAGAGACACAAACAUGUUCUUCUGUUCAAGGUUGUUCUAAACAUCUUCCAAGACCCUGAAACAAAGCCUGUUUGAACUGCCUCAAACUGCUUCUUAUCGGUGCACAGAAUUAUGUCAUGCUCUGCGUUUCAUAUAUAUAGUAGUGGUUUAGUACAAGCGCUUCAGAGCGCUCUCAUUAUUCUAUCCUGCUUUAUUCUAUCCUGUAUUAACCAUCUUUCUCUAAUAAACCUUUUUUUACCAUCA